CAGUAGCCGCGGUAAUACGAAGGGGGCUAGCGUCGUUCGGAUUUACUGGGCGUAAAGGGCGCGUAGGCGGACUGAUAAGUCAGGGGUGAAAUCCCAAGGCUCAACCUUGGAACUGCCUUUGAUACUGUUUGUCUUGAGUUCGAGAGAGGUAAGUGGAACUGCGAGUGUAGAGGUGAAAUUCGUAGAUAUUCGCAAGAACACCAGUGGCGAAGGCGGCUUACUGGCUCGAAACUGACGCUGAGGCGCGAAAGCGUGGGGAGCAAACAGGAUUAGAGACCCCCGUAGUCCCUGUCUCUUAUAC
Molecule: ribosomal RNA, 301 nt
Filed under: uncultured bacterium
Lineage: Bacteria
Description: partial 16S ribosomal RNA
Rfam family: Bacterial small subunit ribosomal RNA
Source: RNAcentral